AUCAAAAACAAACAAGAAAACACAAACAUGCAAAAAUAACUGAUUUAUUACUUAUUUGGUAAGCAUUACUAGGCAAAAUAACCGUUUUGAAAAUCGGACCACAGGUAACGCAUAUCUUGAUUUAGGUCAAAACUUAAUAUCUCAUUAAAACGAAAAAAUGAGCAGUUUCACUUGGGCACCCCUUCUAAUAUGUUUUAGUAGGAUAUAAGCUAAUUGUGUGCCAAAUGUCAUGCUUUUAUCACUCUUGUCACGAUCGCGUUGUUAAGCCACCUGACUAUAAAGGAUCCUGGUAGCUAGAGGGGAAAAUCUUUCUGUUGUGUCCUGCCAUCUAGUGGACAAAAAAAUAUUGCUGUAUGAGUUAAUCAGCUAACAACAAAUUGAUACAAUUGUCUUGCUAAAUGUAACUACUGAAAGAGUCGCCUUAAUCAUUAUCAAAAAUAUUGCUCCCCCCUAAGAAUUUUUUUCAGGAGCCUCCACUGCUUCACAUGUGGAAGCAAAGCUGAUCUAUGAAAUAAUUUACGGUAGGUAUGGUACGGUACGGUAGGCAUGGGCCAUUGAUUCUUGCUGUUAACGCAGUUCCUGAUGCAAUUGUAGACGAGUUAAAACUAGCAGAGGAUGGUUUCGAUCCAUCGACCUCUGGGUUAUGGGCCCAGCACGCUUCCGCUGCGCCACUCUGCUGCAUAUUUCAGUUCCAGUGAAGGUCGUAAAUAUUUUUGGCUGACAGGAUUAUGAAGAUUCUGAUGUCUAACAUUCUGUGUCGAUCAAGGGCCAGAUACCAAUGAAUCAUAAUAUCAAACGUUAUUAUACGGCUCUUCAGAAUGUUCCAAAAAGUUCCGUUGAUUUGAAUGGGCCACCCCAACGUCCACAGCUCGGUAAUUUAUUUAUAUUCAACCGCUGCGACAAAUGACCGCUGUCAUUGGCAACGGGUUUUGUGCUUCAAAUUCUGAUUCAUAUCAUUUCGCAAGUAGUCCGGUCAUUUAACGGUACGCAAAGUCAUUGUAACUUGAAGUGAGCAAGUCGUGGGUUGCUACGCAACACUUGAAACUUUAAAGUUCUAUUUCAUCAUCAUCAUUGUUUGUUCAGGGAGAAUUGACUGAGCACGGGGCUCUUUAUUUGCACGAAGAAUUUUUUUUUUCUCAGCGGAAAUCACGAAACGGCAACAAAAUCAUUAACUUCGAGCUGCGUCGUUUACUUUUUUUCCGUAUACUGCACGUCUUAACUGUCUCAAAAGAGAAAACUUUCAGAGAAGAAAAAAGGCGACCACGAAGGGACUCGAACCCUCAAUCUUCUGAUUCGAAGUCAGACGCCUUAUCCAUUAGGCCACGCGGUCAACACGGUAUCUGACGUCGUGUAAAUCCAUCUCACUGGCAACAUUAAGUUACUCUUCGAAGCAUCAGAGCACAUUUCGGGGUCAGCCCUAUCUAUGUUCCCACAUUUCUAAGGAUUUUUUUUUUCACUGACAAUUUUGCAAAUUAGGCCCUAUGUUCCCACAUACCUAUGUUCCCAGAUUUAUUUUGAAAAAUGAGUCCCGAUGUUCCCACAGCCCUAUGUUCUAGGGUUAAGGUUAAGGUUAGAGUUGGGAAGCUAGCUAGCUCCUUCAAAUCGCCAGCUACGGAAUGGUGAACCCUUAACUACCAGGCAGGGGUAGAAAUGUGGGAACUGUAGGAACAUAGGGCCUAAUUUUGUAAUGAAUAUUAGAAAUGUGGGAACACAGAGCUGUGGGAACAUAAGACCUAAUUUUGAAAAAGCUCUUAGAAAUGUGGGAACAUAGGGCUGUGGGAACAUAGGGCUAUGUGAACAUUGGGCUGUGUGAACAUUGGGCUGUGGGAACAUAGGCACGCUCCCCACAUUUCAAUGAUUGCAAUGAGUGAUGCAAGAUAUCAUUUCCGUUUUCACAGAAGAAAAGUAGCAUAAGUCAUUUAAAUCUGUCAUAUAAAUAUAAGUCAUAUAUGUAUUUCAACAGGCUAUUGUCCAUAAUAAAAGUAUGACAAAUAUUAAAACAACCAUUUUGUUGCCUCAGGGUGAGUUUGGUUGGCAUGGUUUCUAUGAUAUAUACUGUAGGCACACUAUAGACUACUGCAUUAGACACACAGGAGUCAGUAAAGAUUUACAAAGCAAAAUUAAUGAAUUAGAGCUUAAGGUUAAAGGUAUGCUAGUCAGCACCUGUUUUGAUUAAAACUGUCAAACGCCAAGCUUGAACCAUCUUGAUGAUACUCAAAAAAUGCCUUUGAUUGCCAUGGAUUCUAGGUCCUAAUCCAUUGUUUGUGAAUCCCACUGAGUAGGACUACUUCAUGUCUUAAAGCAAGGCUCUCUAAUGCACCUACAACCUCUGGCUGAAACAGAUCCUUGGAUUCGUACAUGGAUUUAUUGAAGUCUGGGUGGGUUAUUAGUCUGUCAGCUGACAAUAAAAGACUUGUAACUUAUAACUCUACAGGCUCAGUGGGUGUGAGCCUCUGCAGCCGUGCGAUGAUGGUGUCCUGUGCUCUCCAGCCUCAGUGUUUGUCGGCUAGCCUCUGCAGCAGUGCGAUGAUGGUGUCCUGUUUGGAGGAGAUGAGCUCUAGCGCCGUGGCCAUCCUACCCACCGCCUCCGCUACGCGAUUGGCUGUCCUCUCCCUGCGUCGCUCCCGCGCCUCCUGCCUGCAUUGGCGCUGCUCGUCCAGCAGGGCGCGCUGCUCCUGGGCACUCAGGUACCCCCGCAGCAUGGUGCCACGCCGCUCCGCCUGCCCCUGAGGCUGGCUCAGAAAUGUGGGCACUCCCAUGGAGGGCGCGCGGCGAGACUUUCGGCGGGAUGAGGGCACAAAGGUCAUUUUCGGUCGGGGUGGUGAUAAGGUUGAAGAAUCCGAAAUACUCAAUGGGGUGUUUAGAGGAGAGGGGCAUAGAGGCGGGGUUGGGGUGAGGGUGGGCGGAGGUGGUGUGGCCCUUUGCGGGGUUAGGGUGGGCACCUGAGUUGCAGAGGCGAUUAUGUUGCUAGAGAAGAGGCAGGAAGGCACAGCGGUGGAGAUGCCCGCAGGCGGGCGCACAUCACACAGCGCUGCUGCCUGUGCCGUCGUGGCCAACCCCAGCAGUGUGGCAGAGGCCGAGCUGCCCUGAGCGAUCUCUGUCUUCCCCAGCACCGCAUCCAUCACCUGCUGGGUACCAGGGAUGGAGAGAGAGAAAGACACAGAUUAAGAUGGAUCUGGUUAUUAUGGACAAUAAUACUGUUUUUCUCGAUUGAUUACACACUAAAACUGGAACACAAUGACCACAACCUGUAACUCAUGUGCCAACUCCCUAAACCAAUUCUGAUAAACUAUAAGCACAAUUAUCUGCUUUCUCCACAGAUUUCAAUUGUUAGCCACACUUUCUUCAAAACACUAAACACCAUCCUCACUACUUUGCACACUUCAUCAAUGCCAAAACCUCCUUGUUUUCAGACAGAACACACUGCUAUUCAAAUGGCAAAACUUCCAUUUCCAAGGCUGUUGUGCAAUUUGAAAUCAAACCUUUAGCAAUAUGAUGGCCACAGGUGAGCUCCUGGUUUGGAGAACAAUUGAUGGCAACAUUGAAGUGAGAGGUGAUCAGAAAGGCAGAGGAGUGAGAGUAAGAGGAGAAGGAGGAAGAGGAUGAAGAGAAAGAACAAGAAGGAGAGCCAUUAUCUCUGAUGAGAUUCGGGCCACUGUGGUCAACCAUGUGGUCAACCAUGCAGGAGGCUGGCCAUAGGGUUCAACCAAACAUAAGCCCCUUCUCAGUUGCAUCCAUUCUCCGGACAUUCAGAAGAGGGAAUAGGUAAGAAACACUACUAUGACAGGAAAACACUAGUUUGAAUGCCUUAUCAGGAGCAUAGUAUUCUUGUAUUUAGCGUAUUUUACAUUGUACUGUAUUUGUAAAAUUACGUAAACAAAUACAAAGUGCAACCAUUGAUGACCAAGACAUAUUCCUAAACAUCAAUACAGUGAACCUAGCCACAGUGGAGUGGACUGUGUUCUAAGGCGGAACACCUUGAGAAUGAAGCAGGUGUACAGGGUGCCUUUUGUCAGAAACUCUGACAGUCAAACAAUUAUGCUAUGACUAUGUGCAAGUAAGUCAUAUAAAUUUCCACAACUGAUUGCGUCCUAUCAGCACUGACACAUUACUGUACUGUAUUGUAAUCCAAUCCAAUGUUAUUUUCAAGUGUUUCAACACUAUUUCUGAUACAACAUUGUCAAUAUUGUCUUGAGCUAGAACAGGAUGCAGUAGUUUUUUGUCCUUUUUUAUUUUACAUUUUUCUUUCUUUUUUUGUUGACUGUACUGGCCUAUAUCUUAUUGUUUGUUCUGUGCAAAUCAUUUACACAUUCAGUUGUGUUUGCUGUGACGUAUAGGCUACAGCACUUUUGGAAAAAAUAAAGAAAUAUUUGAGUUUUUACUGUAUAUUUGUGUGUUGUUUUAUAUUUGAGUAAAAACAUUAUACAGCUACAAUAUUUUACAACAGGAGAAAGCGUACAGUAACACUGGUCAUGAAAAGGCAUAAUGCUCCUGAUAAGGCCUUCAUACUGGUGUUUUCCCAUUUCAUAGUUGUGUUUUCCAUUGAGCACAUCAGUGUUCAAUCGAUGCUUAGAAUGUCUACUCAUAUAAUGGUCUGUGUUUGUCAUUUGAAAACAAAAUACCCUUUUGAAAGCAAGGUAGCAUUUUGCAGGAGAUAUAAAGGGUUUUGCAUUUUGUGUUAGUGGUUUAGGGAUAUGUGUUUAGAGUUUUGAGAAAACAAGGCAUGCUUUCAAAAAAUGUGUGUAAGCAAUCGAGAAAAACUGUAAACAUUUCAUACUGUUAUACUCUGUAAAGUGCCUUGAGGCAAUUUUAUUGUUUUGGUGCUAUUUAAAUCAAAUUGAAUUAAAUUGUGCUUCUGAUAGACUGAUUCUGACUAUGAUAUACUUAUGGUGCUUGUGAUAUACUGAUUGUGAUUUAUAUACACGGUUUUGGAUCUUGAUGUAUGCAGGUUCCUUCCAAAUCAUGAUGGUGUGACCUCACCUCGUAGUACUCCCACGAGGUCCUGGCCUGCCCGCGGCCCCUGCAUCGCUCCUUCACGCGCUUGUAGGUGACGAUGAGGUUGUUCCACUUGCGGCGGAUCCUCUCGACGGGCAGCGGGUAGCCGUGCCCCUCCAGCUCCUGCUGCACACUCUGGAAGAGGCGCGAGCGCUCCCGCUGCCCGUAGAGGUCCCAGCGCGCCGCCAUGGCCUCGAUCAGCAGCAUGAUGGCGUCGUGUGUGAACUCAGACGAGCUCGACACCGCUUCGCUGGGGCCUCGCACGCCCAUCGGACAGGCUACACCGGGGAUGACAUCUUGGGAGCCAGUAGCACCGUUGGUCAACGCUGCUAGUCACACACACACACACAAACAUAAACAGGGCAUAGUGUGAAAAAGUGUAAUCAAUUUCAAAUGCAUGUGCACACAAAUGUACAUAAAAUGGGAACACUUCAGGCACACAUACACACACACACAAACAUUAACAUGAAACACACACGCCAACACACAUAGGCCUAGGCCUACAAAACACCCAGGUGCACACAUACAUGGAAAUUAGGUCAGCAACUCACCUAAAGGGACUUUGCUGCUCUCUUUGGAGGUGAAGUCUGUUGACGAACAUAAUGGUUUGUUGAUGCUUAUCUAAUACUAAUUACUUUUUACAAGUCAUCGCUUUCGCCAACCCUCUUAAUAUCCUGACAACCAUGCACAUUUGUUUUAAUCAUUCAUGUAUUGAAUACUAUAUUUUUUUUAUUUAAUAUUAAACAUUUGAGCUAAUGUGUAAAUAAUUAUCCUACUGCGUCGAUUACUCGUCCGGCAAUAAAUGAAACAUUUCAUUAACUUCUGUAUUUGAUGAACUGGAGAUCGAAUUACGUUUGUCUAAAAUGUUUACAUUGAUGGUGUUAAAUAGAGUGGCAAACUCACACAGCAUGAUCGGGGUAGGAUCUGCCGCUUGGUCGCUCUGUGGAUCCGUACCUUCAGAACAGUAGGCGCCCGAGAGCGCCACUACACAGUCGUCUGCAAAGGGCUCGGCCUUCGGCUUCACGUCCAUGGCUGCGCUGAAUUUGCUUGCUGGCAAGAUGCCUCACUGUCUGUUUUAACGAGGUUACCUGAAUGUAACUCACUCCUUCAUGCUACGAUACUAACCAAACUUACAUUUACAGCUACCCAUAGAGUCACACGCACAGUUUUACAACUUCAUUCGGUAAAAAGUGUGAUCUGUACUUUUAACUAUUAAAUUACCGCAUUAUAAGUACUUAUUCGUUUUCUAUGAAUUAUCAAACGUUGUUGUUGGUAGGCUACAAUAGCCAGGCUGAAAGAAUGAUGGCUGCGCUCUUGUUAAAGUCUGCGCAACUCUUCUGCGUGCUUCUGCAAGCUGAUUGGUUGGUUACCAUUACGCGGCACGCAGGACCUGCACCAACGCAGACGUCAGUGCCUGCCUGGUCUCUGGCAAAACAGUCAUGACACCAAAUGUUUCGGCGGAAUAUGUUAAAAGGAGCAAUAGGAGAGGUACACUUUGACAUGCCAGUUAUUAUGAGGACAAACUUAUUAUCUCACCAUUGACAUGUCUCAACAUAAAAUAUUAUUGUUAUUCAUCUUGUUAUUAUUGUUAUUAUUUGUCCAGUGUAAGAUUCAAAUACAGCCAAUCAGAUGUUCAUAUAGGGAUGAUUUCUGAGUAGUCUAUUCCAUAUGUUUGAUAGAGGUGUUUACAAACACUUAUUUGACCAAUCUGCAGAGAAGGUAAGGCACAGUGUGCCUCAAUCAUGGCUUUAGUGGAUGCAGAUUAAUUUUGGAUUCUGUCUUUG
Molecule: long non-coding RNA, 6779 nt
Organism: Clupea harengus (Atlantic herring)
Lineage: Eukaryota; Metazoa; Chordata; Actinopteri; Clupeiformes; Clupeidae
Source: Ensembl